Pieris brassicae (large cabbage white) is the source of this 479-nucleotide long non-coding RNA. RefSeq lists it as uncharacterized. The record is from RefSeq and is a predicted model, not a curated record. NCBI's taxonomy places the organism in Eukaryota, Metazoa, Arthropoda, Insecta, Lepidoptera, Pieridae. The transcript has 2 exons.
UGAAUGUAUUUGAGAUAAAUAAUUUAAAGUAAUAUUAGAGGUACAAUAUCCUGAAAUCUUAUUCAGUAAGAUGUACGUAAGGCCAGUAUUAUUAGUCUUGUUGACCUGUGCCGUUGUAAGUAUUUGUAGGGCAGAUAACUUAACAGUGGGGAGCAACAUAAAUGGUCAGCUGGUUCAUAUGGAAAAGGUAUCUUUGUCAGCUAUUCCUUUUAAAGUGAGGACCAAAACUGUGUCAUAUAAUGGACAACAAGUAAUUAAGGGAAUAUCGGCCAUAGACCUUAAAAAUUCAAAGACUAAAGUGAGCAUCAUGGCUGGAGGGACUAGCUUUACAUACGUCACUCUGCGUUUGAAGAGUGAAAGAGGAGAUGGACUCGACUAUCAGAUACAGAUAUAUGUGUAGUUCUGACCGAUACAAUUUUAUAAAACAGAAAUACUAAUGAGUAUCGAUUUCUUUCUAUGAAUAUAAUUUUUAAUGUGAA